Molecule: ribosomal RNA, 439 nt
Filed under: uncultured bacterium
Lineage: Bacteria
Description: partial 16S ribosomal RNA
Rfam family: Bacterial small subunit ribosomal RNA
Source: RNAcentral
CUACGGGAGGCUGCAGUGAGGAAUAUUGCACAAUGGGGGGAACCCUGAUGCAGCAACGCCGCGUGGAGGAUGACGCAUUUCGGUGUGUAAACUCCUUUUAUAUGUCAAGAAAAUGACGGUAGCAUAUGAAUAAGCACCGGCUAACUCCGUGCCAGCAGCCGCGGUAAUACGGGGGGUGCAAGCGUUACUCGGAAUCACUGGGCGUAAAGGACGCGUAGGCGGGUUGGAAAGUCAGGUGUGAAAUCCUACAGCUUAACUGUAGAACUGCACCUGAAACUUCUAAUCUAGAGUAUGGGAGGGGGAGAUGGAAUUAGUGGUGUAGGGGUAAAAUCCGUAGAUAUCACUAGGAAUACCUAAAGCGAAGGCGAUCUCCUGGAACAUUACUGAUGCUAAGGCGUGAAAGCGUGGGGAGCAAACAGGAUUAGAUACCCUCGUAGUC